GACGAACGCUGGCGGCGUGCUUAACACAUGCAAGUCGAACGAUGAUGCCCAGCUUGCUGGGUGGAUUAGUGGCGAACGGGUGAGUAACACGUGAGUAACCUGCCCCUGACUCUGGGAUAAGCGUUGGAAACGACGUCUAAUACUGGAUAUGACUACUGGUCGCAUGGCCUGGUGGUGGAAAGAUUUUUUGGUUGGGGAUGGACUCGCGGCCUAUCAGCUUGUUGGUGAGGUAAUGGCUCACCAAGGCGACGACGGGUAGCCGGCCUGAGAGGGUGACCGGCCACACUGGGACUGAGACACGGCCCAGACUCCUACGGGAGGCAGCAGUGGGGAAUAUUGCACAAUGGGCGAAAGCCUGAUGCAGCAACGCCGCGUGAGGGAUGACGGCCUUCGGGUUGUAAACCUCUUUUAGUAGGGAAGAAGCGAAAGUGACGGUACCUGCAGAAAAAGCACCGGCUAACUACGUGCCAGCCGCCGCCGUAA
Molecule: ribosomal RNA, 483 nt
Filed under: uncultured bacterium
Lineage: Bacteria
Description: partial 16S ribosomal RNA
Rfam family: Bacterial small subunit ribosomal RNA
Source: RNAcentral